Long non-coding RNA from Marmota flaviventris (yellow-bellied marmot), 2768 nucleotides. RefSeq lists it as uncharacterized. The record is from RefSeq and is a predicted model, not a curated record. Lineage: Eukaryota; Metazoa; Chordata; Mammalia; Rodentia; Sciuridae.
CCCUGGGGCCAUGGCCGACCCCAGCCAGACUCUGCUGAGCCCUGAGACCACCUGAGACCACCUGAGAGAGUGCCCAGCAGAGGGCAGGGGCUCCAGCCUGGGCCACGGGGGAUGGGCCAGUGUCAAGACACGGCCCACUGCCCAUUGAGGAGGUGCAGCAGGCCCCAGGGCUGCACCGCAGGAGGCUGGACUUAAGGAUGGGUGGAGAGGAGGCUUGUGGGGCCACCAAGAGGGGCCACACUCCAACCCAGGCCUCCCGGCACGUGCACACGCUUGGUCACAAACAGCAACUGAGUCAACCACGAGGCCUCACGCCCAGGAGCACAGAGGGACCGUGUGCGCAGAGCAGAACACAUCAGCAAUGAGGAAAUCAGCCCUGUGGGCAGCCUGCCCAGUCGCAGCCCAGGGGCGGGCUGGAAACACCCCUCCGCCCUCUGUCUGCCAUGCUGAUCUGACCACGCCGCGUGCCUGGCCUGCACAGCUCCGCUGCCCGAUGCCCACACUGCACCCUCUCAGAGCGAGCUUCCUCUCUCGGGGAGGUCAGCCUGGCCUUGCUUUCUCCUGUCCUGAGAUUCCUUUUCGUGAUGACGACAAGGACCCUCAUGGCCUGAGUUGAGGUCCAUCUCCCUUCAGGGGACCUCCUCAGGACCCUUGCCCCUGGGACACAGCUGCUCCUCAACAGCACAGCAAAGGGCUGGGCCUUGCUGCAGAGUGACCAGGAGGUGGGCACCAGCUGCCCAGCACCACAGGACAGAGGGUACCCAGUAGGGGGAGGGCCAGCCCAGUGUACCUGCCCACAUCUGCGGGAUCCAGCUGCUGCCCUGUCCUCUGAUGUCAUCCAGCUCCAUAGGUCAUCUUUGAGCAUGCGUGACUUGGGACCGUGAGAGCUCCUGGGUAUGAGGCGGCCCCUUGGAGCAGAUCUGCGCCCCUGCCCAGUCCUACUUACUCAUGAUUUCAGAAAGUCAACAAGUCAAAGUGCUCGCAGAGGAACAGGCUCAGGUCCCACAAGGCGCGUCAGCGUUAAACCAAAAGGGAACUGGCCCUGUGAGCAGGCUGGUUCUGGUCUGGGGGCCCCGGAUGUGCGGCCUGUGGAGGAGACACACACGGGUGAGCUCAGGAAACAGCGGUGCCAGCACCGGAAGGCCACUGCAAAUGGGGGUCAGUCCGAGUCCCUUCAGGAUGUGGCCGUGGGUUUACCCUGCGCCAUGGCUGCCCCCCGUUUCCCCAUUGGCUGUAGCCCUAGGCCGUGGCCAGCCGAGGCUCUGCCCCCUGUAGCUGGACAUCCCCAGCCCCCCGCCUCGUGCCAGCCUGCACAUCCUCACGCCCACAGCCAGCCCCCGCCCCUUCCCACCAGCAACGGCAACAACAGCAGUCACCAUUCUAGGGUCCAAGUGACAGGCUGGGCUUGGGGGGCCCUGCAGGCCUGCAGGACCUCAGGCCUGUCCCAGGAUGUCCAACCGACUGCCUCGGUCAUCCUUACAGCUGCAGGCCUGGUGUCCUGAGGCCGAUGAGCAGUUGACCCCUGCCUCCCGAAGCCCCACCGAGCAUUCUGGUCAGAAAGGGACUGGCCACCCAAAUAUCUAGCAGUUGCUGCUCUGAGCCCAGCACCCCUGAACCGGCAGGGGGUGGCCUAAAACGGUGUGCGGGUGGCUGGCCAAGCAUCUGUGCUGUGGCUGCUGUCUCCCCCUGAGCCGGCCACACACCUGCCCGCUCCGCUCCUCUGGGGGCGUCUCCACAGUGGGGCUUCUUCACCCCCAGGAAAGAAUGGGGCUCUCUGAGCAGGGAGCUGUGGCUGGGGAGGUGUCACUCCUCCUGUCCUUUGUCAGGCUUAGGCUUGGGAGGCAACAGUAGCCGGGCCACAUGUAGAACAGCCACCACCUGCAGCCCGGGGACAGAGGGCUCAGGCACAGAGUGCAUCCAGGGACACAGAGGCAUGGCUCAGACCAGGGCUUCUCACCUGCGGUGACUUUGAAUUCCAGAGGAUCCUUGGCAGACUCCAGAGACGCUUCACGUUGUCACUCUAGUCCCGUGGCAGUGGGGACGCUGUUCACACCUGCAUGCACUUUUCCUCUAUGUCCCUCCUCCAUCCUGCCCUCCUGUCCUGGGAGGCACAGGUUUGCUCCUGGAGCUUAAGGACGGACCCCAGAGGACACAGUGCCAGUGACCACAUCAAGGGUGCACGCCCAGCUCAGCGCCACACCUGCUAGCCCUGAGGACCUGAAGGGUGUCAGGCUUGAUUGGCUCUCGGCCCCCAGCCGGCAGCUGGAAGUUUGCUGGCAAGGCUGGUGACUCAUGGGGCUCCCUGCUGACUGGACCUCCUGCAGAGGCCCUGGGGUCCUGACACCGAGCCUCGGGCAUGGAAGGACUGGGGCCUCAGGCGAGGAGUGUGGAUGCUGCCGUCACCUGUGUUCCCGACCCCAGACAGGGCGUGUGAGUAGUGAAUGAAGGAGGGAUGCGGGGGACCAGCACCCAGCCCGCCAGCUGUCUCUCCUCUUCCAGAGCCUGGUCCCCAACAGCACCUGGUGUGACUGACUGCUGCCUGGCUCGACCCGCCCCCGCCGCCGGCUCGGCAUUCUGAGCGAGGGGCGAGCGCUGCAUGAUGAAUGGCUGCAGAGCAAGGGGCACUGGCCAACGAGGGGAGGCCAGGUGCCACAGCAGGACGGUCUCAGAGAAGGGAGGUGUGCCUGGUCCUGGGCCCAUACGACCCAUGUGGGGGCCCCAGAUGACAGUGUUGACACUAGACACCAUUAAAAAAGUGUUUUAACCAA